UAAUCUCGAAUUUUGCGUUGUAGCUAAAAAUAUCUUUUUAAGAUUCCGGUCAUCAAUUGCCGGUAGAAGUGACAGCCGGGUCCCGCGCAACGGACGACCGCGAACUCCGUCAGGCCCGGAAGGGAGCAGCGGUAACGGUUUUGGCCGUGUGCCGCGGGAGUGCCUGGCUGUCACUUGUACCGGUAAUUUUGUCUGGAGGCUG
Molecule: unclassified non-coding RNA, 202 nt
Filed under: Desulfuromusa kysingii
Lineage: Bacteria; Pseudomonadati; Thermodesulfobacteriota; Desulfuromonadia; Desulfuromonadales; Geopsychrobacteraceae
Description: Bacterial large signal recognition particle RNA
Rfam family: Bacterial small signal recognition particle RNA (bases 74-172)
Source: RNAcentral